This is a long non-coding RNA of Rhagoletis zephyria (snowberry fruit fly), 480 nucleotides long. RefSeq lists it as uncharacterized. The record is from RefSeq and is a predicted model, not a curated record. Lineage: Eukaryota; Metazoa; Arthropoda; Insecta; Diptera; Tephritidae.
UGGGAAGAGUGAAUUCGGAAACUAAUGCGACCAUUUACAUACAAUAUACAUAUGAAUGUACAUAUGUAUGUAAAGACGGUUACAUCGAAUUCCGGUGGCAAAAUAGACUACAAUAAGAACGCUCAUGUUAACAGUGUAAACAGCGCAAACGCAAAAGAGCUGGAGCAAAAUGGGAGCGUAAACAGCGAGUUACGAAGUGGCAGUUCAUGCAUGACUACGCCACAUCAACAAUGGGUGAAAUAGGGUUGUACGAUACGCAACAAACCCUGCGAGAAUCUGUCAAUUAAAUUCAAACAAAUGCAAGUACUAUACGUACAUAUGUAUAGAUUCUUUUUCGUAUUCAGGACAAAUAAAGGAAGAUCGAAAUUUUACAUUAUCAUUUUGAAGUUAUAUCUGACGGCGUUCGAAUAUCGGACCACCUACAGCAGAAUAUAUAAAGAAAUAUGAAAUGUAAUAAAAUAAAGUAAAAAAAAAAAUAAA